GUUUGUCUGUCACCGUCACACAUAGGAAUUGAAAGAAAAAAAAAAUGAAAAGCGAAAAAGCACGCAUCCCAUCAGAAUCACAAAGAAUAAAGAGAAGAAAUUUUGAAGAAACAGCAAAGGAAGUUUCUAUUUUGAUGCUUCUUUUUUACUAUCUUCAAUCACCUACCACUCAUGCCUUGUUUAUUAAUCCCACAACAACAUCAUUUCCUUCCUCUCAUGUUUUCUCCUUUUCCCUCCAACAACUCCACUCUACUUUCCCUUCCUUGCCGUCACAUUCUCUUUUUUCCCCCAUGUUUUGUGUUUCGUGUUGUUGCUCGUUUCAAAAGUUUCUUUUUUGA
Non-coding RNA from Vicia faba (fava bean), 338 nucleotides. The record is from the annotation of a GenBank genome assembly. Lineage: Eukaryota; Viridiplantae; Streptophyta; Magnoliopsida; Fabales; Fabaceae.